Callithrix jacchus (white-tufted-ear marmoset) is the source of this 785-nucleotide long non-coding RNA. RefSeq lists it as uncharacterized. The record is from RefSeq and is a predicted model, not a curated record. Lineage: Eukaryota; Metazoa; Chordata; Mammalia; Primates; Cebidae.
CAUAUGGCAGGCAGUGGGUGGCUCUUAUACCCAAGGUAAGGGCGUGGCUGGCGGGGGAGGAUCUACAGGGCCCCUCUUAUGGGACUCUCAGGCCCUUGGCUUCUCCUAGAGCGCACCCUAGUCUCUCUUCCCUCGCCGGCUUCCCUAGUGAUCAGCCAGGACCCAAAUCAGCUGGGUCCCCUCCCCUAGGCCCCCCUACAAAGAGGAAGUGCUGAUGAACUUCACCCCAUCAGAGCCUUAUCGGAGCCCAUAAAGCCCUGCCAGGCUUUUGUUGGCAGAGGGAGGGUGAGACCAGGCAGGGCAGGGCAGGGCUGCUGGAGUGACCCAGGACAGCUGGGCAGCGGAAGAGGAGGAUGUGGGGCGGAACCUCAAGUAUCUGCCUCUCCCAGCAACUGUGAAGAGACUUACAUUGAUUGCAUGCCCACUGCACGUCUUUACCAGCUACUCGAGAGGCUGAGGCAGGAAGAUCACUUGCGUCAAGGUUCCAGUGAGCUAUGAUCAUGCCACCCGCACUCCAGCCUGGGUGACAAGGUUCCAGUGAGCUGUGAUCAUGCCACCGCACUCCAGCCUGGGUGACAAGGUUCCAGUGAGCUGUGAUCAUGCCACCGCACUCCAGCCUGGGUGACAAGGUUCCAGUGAGCUGUGAUCAUGCCACCGCACUCCAGUCUGGGUGACAGAUGAAGACCCUGUCUCUAAAAAUAACAAUAACAGUCAUCAUAAUAAUCAUAAUAGUAACAACCUCAUAGAGUCUUCGGUCAUUAAGGUAAUAAAUGCUCAGAAUAAGA